This 670-nucleotide ribosomal RNA is filed under the name uncultured bacterium. RNAcentral's name for it is "bacterial SSU rRNA". The stretch from base 1 to 532 matches the Rfam family "Bacterial small subunit ribosomal RNA", at positions 338 to 873 of the family's 1533-position model. The record is from RNAcentral.
CCUACGGGAGGCAGCAGUGGGGAAUUUUGGACAAUGGGCGCAAGCCUGAUCCAGCAAUGCCGCGUGAGUGAAGAAGGCCUUCGGGUUGUAAAGCUCUUUUGUCAGGGAAGAAACGGUGGGGGCUAAUAUCCUCCACUAAUGACGGUACCUGAAGAAUAAGCACCGGCUAACUACGUGCCAGCAGCCGCGGUAAUACGUAGGGUGCAAGCGUUAAUCGGAAUUACUGGGCGUAAAGCGUGCGCAGGCGGUUUUGUAAGUUUGUCGUGAAAUCCCCGGGCUCAACCUGGGAAUGGCGAUGAAGACUGCAAGGCUAGAAUCUGGCAGAGGGGGGUUAGAAUUCCACGUGUAGCAGUGAAAUGCGUAGAGAUGUGGAGGAACACCGAUGGCGAAGGCAGCCCCCUGGGUCAAGAUUGACGCUCAUGCACGAAAGCGUGGGGAGCAAACAGGAUUAGACUACCCGUGGUACGUCCGUACCGACCCGUAACCGUACGUAGUACUACUACGUUAGUUACGGGUUUUAACGUUUAACGUUUAGGUUAACGUACGACGACUACGUACGUGUAGUAGACCGCCGUCGGGAGGUACGGUCGGCGAGUAAGUUAAACGUACUUAAGUUAGUAAGUUAGUUACGGUCGUUGAGACGUGCGACGGACGACGACGAGGGAGGAGG